AUACAGGAUUCAUCCACUGGAUUCCUCGUUCGUUGAGGAGUAUAUUCAAGAGUGGGAUGCCUCUCAGUUUGUCGUGAUAAAGAUGGGUCUUCAUGGAUGCAGACUGCGUUUACAUUUCGACAAAAACCAUUGUUAGGAAAUGUGGUACCUUGCAAUGUUGAGUUUGAAUUUAUUUAGUCAUGAGUCACGGCGGGCUUUUGAGUUCAUUUCGCUACCUCAACUCUUGGAGUUAGCAGAAGAUCACGGAGAAAUCGCUCAGUCGUGCCAAGACGCCGAGGAGCUACAACGAAGUAGAGAGAUAUCUCCCGCUUUUUUGCUCCUGCAACAAGAAAUUUUUGGGAAGGAGAUGACGGGGAGAAAGGUGGCGGCCUUCUGAGUAAGCUCAAGCCUGGCGGUGGGAGCUCAUCCAGCUCCAGCUCCUCCUCGGAUAAGGAGACGGAGGGAGCGCGCGAGAGGAACAUUCUUCGUCGCCAGAGGCGUGCACAGCGCCAACAGCGCAAGGUAGGCCUUAGUGGAACUGCCGGAACCACUGGAGUGGCUCCAGAAAUGAUCGACACUACUGUUGCACCUGUCGGAUAUGAGAAGAAGCAAGGAUUCUUUUGAAGAGAUGCUGAAACAUUGUUGGAACGUAUUCAUAGUGGACUGAAGUAGGCACCAGAAAUUAAACAGUGUGUAGGACAAUGGCAUUGUCAUUAUUCCCGUACAUUGUCGACUGAACUGGUUACGUAGCAAGUGAUGCUCACGAUGUGGUCGGAGUAGAAUUCCUUGGAGUGAUCAUGUAAAUUGAAGUACAUUAUAAUGGUAAAGAUCACGGGCUUGCUGAGGCGAAACUGACGCUCUCGCUUUGGCUCUUGCAAUCUCA
Physcomitrium patens is the source of this 862-nucleotide non-coding RNA. The record is from RefSeq and is a predicted model, not a curated record. Lineage: Eukaryota; Viridiplantae; Streptophyta; Bryopsida; Funariales; Funariaceae.